CUUUCCUCUCCCGAUCUGCCCCUUCUUCGCCUUUUUGCUCUUCUUCUUCUUCUUCUUCUUCUUCUUCUUCUUCUUCUUCUUCUUCUUCUAUUGCUGCUGCUGCGGCGGCGAUGUCGUCGACUACCACCACCUCUUCUCCGGUUUCUGUGGAGUCCAUUAACCCAAAGGUGAGGCCUUUCUGGAGUUUUGUUUCGAUUUGAUCCGUAAAGGUGCGAUUUUGAUUUGCUGGGGGGUUUAAUUUCGGGUUUUUGGAUCUGGGAUUCUCCCAGUUUGUUCGAAUUUGAUGCUACGACUCCUUUAGAGAUGCACCGAUCGGUUGUUUCUGGGAUUGAUUUGGCCACCUUGUGGGCGAUUUGAAGUGGAUUGUUAUGGUUGAUGUUCCAACUAUUUUGUGUCGAAGGCGAUAGUUUUGACUCAUUGCUUGCUUUCUCUUUAGUUUCUAACUUGCUUAGCACUCUAUUGCUUGUUUACCAAUCACUUGUGCCCUGUCACUGUUGCAAAUCUCUCUGCUAUUUUGUGGAGUUAAAGUUCUAAUUAUUUUGGUUGGUUUACUUUUGAUCAGUGUUCUUUUCCUUCUCUAUAUAUAUCUAUGCUUUGCUUGGUCUUAGUGGAUGAGUGUGAUUUAUAACUUAUUCUUUGUUUUUCUAAAAGAAUUUAUUGUAUAUCUACAUUUUCCAGUUUAUUGUAGUGUUUGGCUUGGUUUUAAGAAACCACCUUCGCAAGAACAAAUCGUAUUUGGCAAUGUUGUUGUUUCACCUCACAGUAUAGAUGCUUAAGUUGUUGGCUUAUGUAUUUUCCUACUUGGCUUUGUCCAAGACUUAUUUUUGAUCAUGUUUUUGAUGUGCUAUUACUACAUUUAAGUAUUAACUUCAAAUUUUUUUUCCUUUAAAAGUUUGCUUGAGGCAUUAUACAUGGCAUGAUAUUAUCAUUAUAUGCUUCUACUGACAUUCAAACCCAUUUUUUAGGUUUUAAAAUACGAGUAUGCCAUCAGGGGAGAGAUUGUAAGCCAUGGUCAAGUAAAUUAAAUUAGCUUCCCAUUUUCGUUCUUUUUCAAUCGCAGUCAAAUAUAGUUAUUAAUCCAAGAUUGAGAUAAGCUAUAGAACAUAGCAUGAAAUAAUUUUACAGAUUUUAACAGCUUAUAGUAUGAUCUUUUUUUUUUUUUGGGGUGGAAUUCUAGGAAAUUUUCUCCAAAUUAGAAAUUAUACUGAAUCGAUUUGUGGAUGUUGUUUCCUUAGGUGGUGUUUGUCAUAAAUUGUACUGAUGCUAUAUUAUUCAUUCCGAAGACAAUUUAAGAUUCAUUUGUGAAAAGAGAACAGUCUCUAAACUUGUAAUAUAUCAGAUUUUGGUAUAAAAAUAAAGAUAAAUAAAAGUAGUGUGAGAUACUAUUUUUAUUGGGUUUCGAAAAGCAAAAUAUAUGUCUAGAGUGACUUGUGCUGAAAUCGGAAUGAAAACAGAAUAUUUAUAAUUUUCUGUUGGAAACGGGGCGGAUAAAAUUAGCAGGAAAUGCACAGUGUCAGAAAAUUAUGAAAAUUGGCGGUAGAUGUCAGAAAUAUUUUUAUGAGGCUAGAUUUAAAGUUUCAUACCAUUCUGACACCCGUAGAGAGAGAAAUAGAAUCCGAAAGCUAUCUGAUAAAGAUUGCAGUCCGGUACAGUUUUCGAUGACCAAACGUGGUCGAAACUGAAAGAUUAAAAUUUCUUCGGACUUAUUAAGAAAAACCGAGCUUGCCUGCCAAAUUUGAGCGCAAACGGAUGUUCAGAAGGGCUCCGGCAAAAAAAUAUCAUUUUUAAACCCCCAUGGAGUGAAUAGUAUUUUUGGAAGCUUCAUAGGAAACUUGGAGAGCAAGUUUCCUCUCUAUGUAUAUAUAGGACUUGGGCUUUCUUUCCUCUCAUUAUUCACACUCACAAGCAAAGAGAAAAAUCUCUCUCUACACCAAAGAGAGGAUUGGAGAAGAAAAGAAAGAAAAAUUGAAGCAAGCUUGGAGAAGAUUAGAGUAGCUUGAAGUUGACGCUCUCUCUAAUGGUGGAAGCAAGCUUUCCAAUAGUGGAUUUAGCUUGAUGUGAAUGGUGGUCUAAGGUGAGAUCUCAUAAUUUAAGCUAGGAUUUGGUUUAAUCCUUAAUGCUUAGUGUUCCAAUAGCCUCUAAUGUGUUGAUUAGCAUGUUAAAUCCAUUUAAUUUGGGUUAAUUGGAGCAUGUGUAGAGGCUAGGUUUAUAAUGAUAGAUCUUAAGAGCUUUAAUUAUAUGCUCUAAGAAUGGAUUUAGAGGAAUCCUUAGAUGCUAAAUGGAUAACUAUUGCAUGAAUUAAGGGAUCAUAUGAUGAAUUCUUGCAAUAGUGUAUCUUAAGGCUCAAAAAUAGGAUUUUGUAAAAUAGUAGGGUUUGAUCUCAUUUGACCCUCCGUAAACCUAAUUGCUAGGUAAACGAACGCGUUGGCGAAGUCGGUUCGGCGAUUCGUCGAGCCGUUGCAAAGUUAUUAAAGAAACGGAUGUUUAGGCUUCGUUUCCGCCUGGAGGGCCGAGGCGACGUCGUAAAAUCAUGAGAUCGGAUCUGAAGCACCGUGUUAGCGUGGCGAAGAGCUUCUGCACUUGAAACGGCGAAGCGGUGCGCUUUUGGAGUGCAACUGUGAGAUCGGGCCCAAACCGGGUUACGGGUGCCGCGGGAGGCCGAUUGCAAGUGUCGACAAGCAGUCGAAAAGCGUGUUGAGGUCGGUUGUGCUCACCGAAGCGAUUAGGUCGCUUUCCGUGCCAAAGUGUAGUAUGUUUACUAUUGAUGCAUGAUAAAGUAUGCUAUUUAAGAAUGCAUGAUAAAAAUAGAUAUCAAAUAAAUGAAUGAGUUGAUGUUAAUUUACAUGAGCAUAUUAUAGAAAUGCUAAACAGAUGUCAAAUGAAAGUAUGAGAUUUAUACUAACCGAGAAUGCAUGUGGUAAAUGUUAACGAAUGCAUAAAAUGCUAAGUAAUGACUACCAAUGGAUGACAAAAUAUAUGCAUGUUGAACAUAGAUCGAGUGGCAUUUGGAAAUGGUAAAGUGGACACUAGAGUUAGUGUGGGACAUCAAAGAAUAAAUGUGAUGUAAAGAAUAAUGAUAAUGGUUAGAGACAAUGCAAAGCAAUGUGAUGUAAAGAAUAAUAAUAAUGGCUAGGGACAAUGCAAAGCAAUGUGAUGUAAAGAAUAAUGAUAAUGGCUAGAGCAAUGCAAAGCAAUGUCAUGUAAAGAAUAAUGAUAAUGGCUAGAGGCAAUGUAAAGUAAUGUGGCAUAAAGAACAAGUAAAGUGUAAAGAACAACGAUAAUGGCUAGAGUUAGCAACCAAUGUGACAUGAAACACACUAGAGUUAGUGUGUGGCAACAAAAGAACAAGUGUGACAUCAAGAAUGACAAUUACUAGAGUAAUUGACAAGUGGGGUGUAAAGAACAAUGAUUGCUAGAGUCAGCAACUAAUGUGAUGUAAAGAACACUAGAGUUAGUGUAAAGCCAUGAUUCAACUACAUAUCCUUAGAGUUAAGGAUUGAUUAUACUUGCUAUGAGUUCCGUGCUUAAGGGCAGUAGCUCCCCCUCAAGCGAUGCGCUCCGGAGUUUUGCAUCACGGGUUGGAGUAAACCCGAGGACGGUCCUAGCAGGUGAGUUCCUGCGAGGAUGGACUUAAUGUGAAGCAAGUUUAAUGUGGUGAAACCCCCGGGUUAGCCGUGAGAUUAAAGAACAAAGAACAAAAAGGAAUCAUGAAUUGGAAAGUGGAUCUUGUAUUCAUUAUGAAUUCACUCAAGAUCGAGUCGUGUGGCAUAGUUGGCUAAGGUAAAGGUAACCCUAGGAAAGAAUGACAAUUGUGAAAGAAUGACAAUUGAAAAACGUUUGUUAAUGUUAUAAAGAAUGGCAAAUGUGUAUAAUGUGCUUAAGGUGCGAGUGUUCUUAGCAAAGAAUAAAGAAUAAAGAAUAAAGAAUAAAGAGUAAAGAAUGGCUAAUGAUAAAGAAUAGCAAAUUCUAAAGAAAGGCUAAUGGUAAAGAAUGACAAAGAGUUGCAUAAUUUGCAUAUUUGUGAGGCAUGAACAUGUAUUGCACGAUGUUAUAUGUAUAUGUAUCUGUUGGACUAAUAUGUUGCUGUGCCUCCUUUGGACCUGGUGGGUUGAGCUCUUCCCUUGGGUGGCUGUACCCACUGAGGAUUAUGGACAAUAGUCUCACCCUCGUGUUGUUGUUUUUGGGGGUACAGGUUCACACGCGAGCGGCGCGGCUGCGCGAGGAAAGGGCGUAGCUCCGUAGUUAGCGCCCUACCACCGAGACCAGAUAGGGGUACCCCGAGUCGGCAUAGCCUAGGGGUAGAGGAAAAAGAAAAAGAGAAGAAUCAAUGUUGUAAUAAUUAUGUUUAGAACUUGAUUGUAUUUUUGGAAGUUGAGGAUCAAUGUGAUUUACAAAUAAAGUGAUGAAAAAAUGAAACGUGUAAGAUGCAUAAUUGUAAUAACUUAGUUGAAAUUAUGUUUUUGAUACUUCCUUAUGCAAUCUUUGGUUGAAUGUGUUCCUGGUUGGAACUUCGUACAUUGUAUUGAUUGCGACGCCUUGAACGUACAGGGGAGACUCUGUCCGCGGUACAGGGGAAACCCUGUCCGUUCGGCGGUCUGUUGGCGUGCCCGAAUCCGACCAAAGAGGCGGGCUCGGGGCGUGACAGAUAAGAUGGUAUCAGAGCAUAAAGUAGAGAAUGGGAAAGUGGUUUAGAUGAACCUAGGAGACCCUAGGAUAGUAAACCAUAGGAGAUUAAGGCUCGUGAGAGACGAGGACUUGUGACUUGUGGCGAAAGGAUAAUGGAUUGGGUUAUGUUGUAAACCUCUAAAAAGGAGAUUAGAGGUAGAUCCAAGGUGGUAUCAGAGCAUAAAAGAACAUAAAAAGAAUAAUAGAAAAUGGUUUAGUUGGACCUAGGAGACCCUAGGAUAGCAAACAAUAGGAGAUUAAGGCUCGUGAGAGACGAGGACUUGUGACUUUUGGCGAAAGAUAAAUUGAUUGGGUUAUGUUGUAAACCUCUAAAAAGGAGAUUAGAGGUAGAUCCCAGGUAUGGUUUAUUCUCAACUGAGGGUGUUCAUGUUGGACGCGUACAACAUGAAACCGAGUGAUGAGAAUAGAUGCCCUUGUAUAACUUUCGCCCGAUUUGAGUUAAUGUCAAUUGUUUCAUGCUCGACCUAGAAGGUUGAGAGUUAGUCGAGUUGUCAUGUUUUAGGUAACGAAGGCACCGCGUAGGCAAUCUUCAUCUAGAUCGAUGCGGGGUGGGACAAGUGAUGUCCCUGAGCAAUCCGAGGCAAGCGGAGACUUGGAACUUCGCGAACGGUUGACCACACUUGUGGGUGUGGUGAGGCAGCAAGCCGAUGUGGUGCAGCAACAGCAGGAGGCUGCUAUGCGCUAGGAGAAGCGAAUUAAGAGACUCCAGGAAACUGUAGACUAGCUGGUGACUGCACCAGUUGCGGCUCGUUGAGGAUAGCCGAGAGUUGCGGCGGAGAUCCCUCCGUCGGGGUCAGGCGAUCCGACUCCCGAAAGUGCAAUGCUGGAGGUAGAAAAAGAGUGUGCUUUAGAAGCCCUCCUGACCCUUUUAAAGUUUGAUCCACCUAUCUUCAAUGGAAAGAAUGUCGAUCCAUGGAUCGUGGAGACGUGGAUUGACUCCGUGGAAGCGCUCUUCGAGGAGCUAUACACAUUGGAGCGAGACAAGGUGCCCCUAGCCGUGCAUUGUUUAAAAUUGUCGGCAAAGGUGUGGUGGAAGGGCAUUCGGUGGAACCGAUCGCCUAGUCUUCCUCCCAUGGCUUGGGAAGAGUUUCGGGGAUUGUUGUUUUCUACGUACUUUCCCGACAGUGAAAAGAGAAAGCUUCAGGACAAGUUCAGGAAGCUGCGGCAAGGAGACCGCUCAGUUAGGGAAUACGAAUGGGAAUUCUGUCUAUCGUGAACUAUGUCCGAGAUAUAGAACCUUCUGCUGACGACGUCAUGCCAGGUAUGAGCUAUUAAUGCAGUUAUGUGUUUCUGCAUAAUGUAAAGUUGGUGCAUUGCAUGCAUUGAGCAUGUAGUUAAUUACUACUAUUUAUGUAGUAGCAUAGUAGGGUCCGAGUGAACGGAUAAGUGUAAAUGCCCGGGCACGCUUAUGUUGUGAAGGCAUAGCACCUGCCGGUGCAGGUAGAGAACUAGAUGACACUAGCGAGUUGCUAGUAAUGAUCUAAUGAUGAGACUUGUAGUAGAGGUGGAAAUGACGAACCAACUCGCAGAGCAAUGUAUGUAAUUGAUUGCGAGAGUUGUGUCAUGACACUUGUGGACACUCGAAUGGUUUGAGUGUUCUAGAUGUUGCUCCGGUAGAGCGAUUGGCUGCCAAAUACAGGCGCAUUGGCCUAAUAGUACCUCAAAUUGAGGUGGGUGAGUCGUGCUCGUGUGGCCGGUGUGCAUAGGCAAAGUUGCCUGAUGCUUGACAUAGUUGGAACGCUAUAGAGGCGCGUAGAGCGCUCGAGUAUAGUUACUCGUGGAGUGCGGAUGUAAUUCAGCCAAGUGAGAGUGUUGGCAGUAGCACCUGAGCAUUUCUAGGUGUGAAGCAUGCCAUGGAUCACUCGUGGGGCUGGUGGCUCGCACUAGGUGCAUAGGAGCCGAUAGUGGUACGUAUUGUGCUAUAGAGCGUGUAGUGCGAUUGAUAGUAUACUGAGAGUGCGAGUGUGACCCAACCCGGGAAUCUGUAACGGUUUGGGAUUUUAGUUGCUCCUGGUUGGAGUGUGUGCGAAUUCCCCAGUGAGAAUUUCGCCCCAACGAUGAUUGGGUCUACGCUUGCGAGCGAGGGACGUCGAGUAUUGAGACGGGUUUAGGCUGUAGGCCUACGUAGUAUGGGUGGCCUUUGGCUCACCUGUGGAAAGUCGAGGAAAGUGAUUUGGCGAGUAGCCUUAUCGGGGAGUUUGACUUGAGUUCACGAAUGACGUGUUCAUGUGAGCUCUUUGCGAAAGUAAUAAGACGUUGGCCGUGGCAUAUGGUAUCAGAAGAUGAAGUGCUCGUGGUGAGACCUUGAACUUGUGAGAAGCCACGUGGAGUUUGAGGAUUGGAUUUGGGAUGUGCCGAGGUGGCUCAUGUUAGAGCUAAAGAUCGGUGCGGAAUUAGAGCACUCGCGGUGAAGCGAUGCACUAGUGAUGUUGCUUUUAAGCAAUGUUGGAGAUAGAAUCGGAGUGUAUUCCCUGAGGGGAAAGUAAAUGCGAAGAAGAGUUCUUGUAUGCCAAGUGACAAGUGGUAUUGGAGCGCGUGGAGUCGUUGAGUUUCGACUUGCGCCGCCACCAAGAGUGAUGGAUACCCUAAUGCACUUUGUGAGAUGCGCCUUGCAAAGUUGGAUGCAUUUGGUAUCAUGAACUCCGUGGUAGUCCUCUUGGAUAGUUCCAAGGAGUGUAAAGCCAUUCCGAAGUGGAAAGUGUAUUGGUGCCCUCAAUUGCUCGAGGAGUUGAAUUGAGGCGUGAAUUGAGUUUCACGGACGAAACUCUUUUUAAGGAGUGGAGAAUGUAAUAUACCAGAUUUUGGUAUAAAAAUAAAGAUAAAUAAAAGUAGUGUGAGAUACUAUUUUUAUUGGGCUUCGGAAAGCAAAAUAUAUGUCUAGAGUGACUUGUGCUGAAAUCGGAAUGAAAACAGAAGAUUUAUAAUUUUCUGUUGGAAACAGGGCAGAUAAAAUUAGCAGGAAAUGCACAGGGUCAGAAAAUUAUGAAAAUUGGCGGAAGAUGUCAGAAAUAUUUUUAUGAGGCUAGAUUUAAGGUUUCAUAUUUUUCUGACACCCAUAGAGUGAGAAAUAAAAUCCGAAAGCUAUCUGAUAAAGAUUGCAGUCCGGUAUAGUUUUCGAUGACCAAACGUGGUCGAAACUGAAAGAUUAAAAUUUCUUCGGACUUAUUAAGAAAAAUCGAGCCUGCCUGCCAAAUUUGAACGCAAACGGAUGUUCAGAAGGGCUCCGGCAAAAAAAAGUUAGUUUUAAGCCCCCCUGGAGUGAAUAGUGUUUUUGGAAGCUUCAUAGGAAACUUGGAGAGCAAGUUUCAUAGGAAACUUGGAGAGCAAGUUUCCUCUCUAUGUAUAUAUAGGACUUGGGCUUUCUUUCCUCUCAUUAUUCACACUCACAAGCAAAGAGAAAAAUCUCUCUCUACACCAAAGAGAGGAUUGGAGAAGAAAAGAAAGAAAAAUUGAAGCAAGCUUGGAGAAGAUUAGAGUAGCUUGAAGUUGAAGCUCUCUCUAAUGGUGGAAGCAAGCUUUCCAAUAGUGGAUUUAGCUUGAUGUGAAUGGUGGUCUAAGGUGAGAUCUCAUAAUUUAAGCUAGGAUUUGGUUUAAUCCUUAAUGCUUAGUGUUCCAAUAGCCUCUAAUGUGUUGAUUAGCAUGUUAAAUCCAUUUAAUUUGGGUUAAUUGGAGCAUGUGUAGAGGCUAGGUUUAUAAUGAUAGAUCUUAAGAGCUUUAAUUAUAUGCUCUAAGAAUGGAUUUAGAGGAAUCCUUAGAUGCUAAAUGGAUGACUAUUGCAUGAAUUAAGGGAUCAUAUGAUGAAUUCUUGCAAUAGUGUAUCUUAAGGCUCAAAAAUGGAGUUUUGUGAAAUAGUAGGGUUUGAUCUCAUUUGACCCUCCGUAAACCUAAUUGCUAAGUCGGUUCGGUGAUUCGUUGAGCCGUUGCAAAGUUAUUAAAGAAACGGAUGUUUAGGCUUCGUUUCCGCCUGGAAGGCCGAGGCGACGCCCUAAAAUCAUUAGAUCGGAUCUGGAGCACCGUGUUAGCGUGGCGAAGAGCUUCUGCACUUGAAACGGCGAAGCAGUGCGCUCUUGGAGUGCAACUGUGAGAUCGGGCCCAAACCGGGUUACGGGUGCCGCGGGAGGCCGAUUGCCAGUGUCGACAAGCAAUCGAAAAGCGUGUUGAGGUCGGUUGUGCUCACCGAAGAGAUUAGGUUGCUUUCCGUGCCAAAGUGUAGUAUGUUUACUAUUGAUGCAUGAUAAAGUAUGCUAUUUAAGAAUGCAUGAUAAAGAUAGAUGUCAAAUGAAUGCAUGAGUUGAUGUUAAUUUACAUGUGCAUAUUAUAGAAAUGCUAAACAGAUGUCAAAUGAAAGUAUGAGAUUUAUACUAACCGAGAAUGCAUGUAGUAAAUGUUAACGAAUGCAUAAAAUGCUAAGUAAUGACUACCAAUGGAUGACAAAAUAUAUGCAUGUUGAAUAUAGAUCGAGUGGUAUUCGAAAUGGUAAAGUGGACACUAGAGUUAGUGUGGGACAUCAAAGAAUAAAUGUGAUGUAAAGAAUAAUAAUAAUGGGUAGAGACAAUGUAAAGCAAUGUGACGUAAAGAAUAAUGAUAAUGGUUAGAGACAAUGCAAAGCAAUGUGAUGUAAAGAAUAAUAAUAAUGGCUAGGGACAAUGCAAAGCAAUGUGAUGUAAAGAUAUAAAUGAUAUAUGGCUAGAGGACAAUGCCAAAUCAAUGUCAUGUAAAAGAAUAAUGAUAAUGGAGUUAAGAGGCAAUGUAAAGUAAUGUUUGGGCAUAAAAAAAGUAAAGUGUAAAGAACAUGUUAAGAAAUGGUUAGAGUUUAGCACAUGUGAAUAAAACACACUAGAGUUAGUGUGUAGGACAAACAAAAGAAUUAAUGUGUGACAUUAAGAAUGACAAUUACUAGCAGUAAUGACAGUGGGGUGUAAAGAACAAUGAUUGCUAGAGUUAGAACUAACUGUGAAUGUAAAGAACACUAGACGUUGUGUAAUAUAUGUAACACAUGGACAUUGUGCACAAUUGCGAGGUUCGGUGUUUGAUUGGGUGAAUUUGUGUCGAGCUUUUCCAACUUUCUGGUAGAGUCAGUGACAGUGUUCCGACUUAUGUUUAUCGGUCCGAGAAUUUGUGGUUUAAACCUGACAUGUACCAAAAUCAAAAAGUUGAUGUUAUUUGGUAGCUGUCGGUAGCUUUCGCAGGCUGGACGUACCGGUACGCGUUUGCUGCUGUAACCGGUACGUGCGUCGAUUGCGGUGUACGGUAGCGUGGUGUGUACGGAUACAAGAUCAUUUUCCAGCAAACGAGUUCGGUUUGGUUAUUGUGGGUGGUUGUACCGUACAAAACCGUGUACAGGUAACAGGAUGCCAGGUGGGGGCUGUUUUCGUGGAAGCGGGUGUUUUUGCAAUUGUGUGCAACUUCUUUAUAAACACCGCCUAUUAGAGAGCCUCCCUUUGAGCCUAAACCUGGGAGACACGUGAGAAACUUCCUCUUUUGGAUAUCUUCUCAGUUUUGAUGGUUUUCUUGUGGUUUUGAUCUCUUUUUCCUCUUUCUUCUUUUGCUGGUUUUCACCAUGGGAGAAGCUUAGAGAUCUUGGGGGGUUUGGGUUGAGUUCUUUGGAGAUCAACCUUCAACCUAGAGGACUUUGGAGCAAUUGGUUUGGAGUAAUCUAAAGAGCCGUUAGUAGCAAUUUCUCUCUCUAGAUUAGCUUUUGUUGGAUUACUAUAGAUAACCCUAGUUUGGUCAUUUUUAGGGGUUACGAAUUUUUUCUGGGAUUUUCGUUUUUUGAGGUUGAUUUGUAUAUAAUUGAUGGUUUAGAACUUUUGUUAUAGGUUUAGAUUGGAAGACUCUAACUCCCAUUUGCUGAAGAUCGAGAAGAGCUUCCUGUGCGCAAUCGGUAGAGGCUUUUUCCUACCUAGCUUGAGAGUUGAAAUUGAGCUUAGUGUCGUUCAUUUCGGUAGAUGGAAACCAUGUUUCUUACCUUUAAGGGUAGCUAGGAGAUUGAGAGACACCCUCGUUGGAGCGCACAGAGUUUCGUUGCCCAUCGGUGGGUUGGGCUUCGUGUCGAAAUGGGAUGCGAAAAUGGCCGCUAUGCUCUUUUACUCGUUGUAAAUUAUUUUUAAGUUCAUUUGUCUAGUGACUAUAUGAGAGUUUAUAUGAAUUAUAGAGCCAUUCAUAAAUGCCUGCCUUAUGUAUUAUAAAAUUUCAAUAGAUAUAGUAGGCUAUUAUGAGUAGAAAUGGUGCAUACGGAAAGGGUUUAUUUUGCCAGUGGAAUAAUUACAUAUCUCUUAUGAGGAUAUAUGAUUGGAAUAUUGCUUUUGGCAUAGUUGCCAUGUUCCUUCGACAUAGAGAGGCAACGAUGUCUAAAGGGAGCACUUGAAUUGGUAAAUAUGAAAUUGCAAUUAUAGGGACAUAUGAUAGGCCAUACAUAUCUUGUAUUUUCGUGUUAGAGACAUGAUGACAUAGGGAAUAGGCCAUUGAGCAUACUGAACACAUUCCAUGUUAUUAUGACACUGAUGGGACUUGGUACUUGGCACAGUAUCGUUUUGAUAUUGCCGAUUGUGCUCUUAUUCGACAUGCUCUGCUGAGGAUGGUUCGGCUCCUAACAAGCCGGUACUCGGAGAUGGCCAUCGCAGACUACAUUUCGCCAGUGCGUGGAUUGAGGCGGCCGAAGUGUGAUUGCCGUGGGAUGGCUCAUUCCUAAGGGUGGGGAUGAAUGGAACUUAGCCACUGGCAUUGGCCUCGGCAGUGCCAGACAGCCUUCGGGUGUCUCAGGGCAUAGACACUUCGGGUGUGUUUCUUCGAUUUGACGUGAGGAUUCCUCAUGACAUGUGGAAGUUUCUGAUUAGAGUAUUACUUGGACUUUGACCCUAGAAUAGAAAACAACGGAACUUUAUAUUUCGCAUGUGUUGAAAUUGUAAUAGUUGGAGACUUUCAUUAUUGCAUAGUUGCUUUAUAUUUUACUAUUCUGUAAGUAGAGAAUAUGUGUAGUAGGUUACAUUUUAGCUUACCUGCCACAUUUUACUUUUAUAGUCACUGACAUCUUCUGUUUAGCUUUGGGCCUUGUGGUGCAUUCACUGAAGUCAGUAAUUGCCCACUGGGAACUAUUUUUAAUAGUUCUCAUGCCCCCGUUUUGUGGUUUACUUUUCAGAGCCUUCGGCACCGGCGGAGGCACGGGAUCGCGGCAAGGGGAUCGCUUAGCUAGCUAGCGAGGAGCGGUACUUUGCCUAGGUGGUUUACUCUUUUUUUUUGUAGUUGAGGGAGAGUGAGAGAUUUUGUAUCCAUGUAUAGAGACCACCUAUGUACCUACUUUUAACUCUUGUAUUUGGGAUUUCCUACUGUUCUUACUCUAUGUUUCAUUUAGUGGAUUUACUGUUUUAUCCUUAUCCCUUGUUGUAGCAUUUAGAUAUUUAUUAUGCUCUGAUACUCCUAGGUAUCUCUUAUUACUGCUUUUAUUAUUGUUGUUUUUAGACGCCUUAUAUGUUGUAGACAUAUGGCGGGUCUGGGCAUGCGCCGGGCGGGCUCCCGCUGGGUCCCGGGGCGUGACAUAUGAUUCAACUACAUAUCCUUAGAGUUAAGGAUUGAUCAUACUUGCUAUGAGUUCCGUGCUUGAGGGCAGUAGCUCCCCCUCAAGCGAUGCGCUCCGGAGUUUUGCAUCACGAGUUGGAGUAAAUCCGAGGACGGUCCUAGCAGGUGAGUUCCUGCGAGGAUGGACUUAAUGUGAAGCAAGUUUAAUGUGGCGAAACCCCCGGGUUAGCCGUGAGAUUAAAGAACAAAGAACAAAAAGGAAUCAUGAAUUGGAAAGUAGAUCUUGUAUUCAUUAUGAAUUGACUCAAGACCGAGUCGAGUGGCAUAGUUGGCUAAGGUAAAUGUAACCUUAGGAAAGAAUGACAAUUGUGAAAGAAUGACAAUUGAGAAAGAAUGACAAUUGAGAAACGUUUGUUAAUGUUAUAAAGAAUGGCAAAUGUGUAUAAUGCGCCUAAGGUGCGAGUUCCCUUAACAAAGAAUAAAGAAUAAAGAAUAAAGAAUAAAGAGUAAAGAAUGUGGCUAAUGAUAAGGAAUAGCAAAUUCUAAAGAAAGGCUAAUGGUAAAGAAUGACUAAGAGUUGCAUAAUUUGCAUAUUUGUGAGGCAUGAACAUGUAUUGCACGAUGUUAUAUGUAUAUGUAUCUGUUGGACUAACAUGUUGCAGUGCCUCCUUUGGACCUGGUGGGUUGAGCUCUUCCCUUGGGUGGCUGUACCCACUGAGGACUAUGGACAAUAGUCUCACCCCCGUGUUGUUGUUUUUGGGGGUGCAAGUUCACACGCGAGCGGCGCGGCGGCGCGAGGAAAGGGCGUAGCUCCGUAGUUAGCGCCCUACCACCGAGACUAGAUAGGGGUACCUCGAGUCGGCAUAGCCUAGGGGUAGAGGAAAAAGAAAAAAAGAAGAAUCAGUGUUGUAAUAAUUAUGUUUAGAACUUGAUUGUAUAUUUGGAAGUUGAGGAUCAAUGUGAUUUACAAAUAAAGUGAUGAAAAAAUGAAACGUGUAAGAUGCAUAAUCGUAAUAACUUAGUUGAAAUUAUGUUUUUGAUAUUUCCUUAUGCAAUCUUUGGUUGAAUGUGUUCCUUGUUGGAAUUUCGUAUAUUGUAUUGAUUGCGACGCCUUGAACGUAUAGGGGAGACUCUGUCCGCGUACAGGGAAAAUCCUGUCCGUUCGGUAGUCUGUUGGCGUGCCCAAAUCCAACCAAAGAGGCGGGCGCGGGGCAUGACAAAACUGCUUAGUUUGCAGAAUGUAAUGAUAAUUGGAAUUUUGGCUUGCUUUUGAAAUUUUAUCUGUAUCUUUUUUUGCCCGACUCCAGCGCUUGCAAGAAGAGUUACAAACAAAGCCAGGCUCUCAUCUAAACCUAUAAAUAUUACUUAUCUUGCACCUUUAGUUAUCUGGAGAAUAAGAGUUUGAACUUUGAAGAUGUCUAACUUUAGAAUCCUUCUCUUUCUCUAAACUCCGGAUUUCUAUAUUAGUCCUAGUUAAGUUGUUGUUAAUUAUUGUUACAUUCAUUAAUUUGCUUAUUGUUGUAUGAAGAGUGAAGAUGUCUAGCUUUUAUGUAUGCUUAUUUGUGGAAUUGUGUGCUUGUAUGCUCUAUGUUUAUUCAAGCUUUUAUGUAUGCUUAUAUGUGAAAUAGUGAACUUUAUGUAUCUUUUAUUUGUUUACUGUUUAGACUUUAGAAUUUAGAUAUGCUAGCAUGCAGUUAUGCACUAUGCAAAGUGCCAAUUUCAUCUUGUAUUUAGUUUCUAACCGUGCUUGUAUGUGAACAAUUUGUGCCUGCUUUUGGGGUCCAUUUGGUUAACAAUUUGUUCUUCCCUUGGACCAUCCAAAGGAUUCAGCCAACACUCUCACAUUCAGUCCAUUCAAAGAUGAGCAGUACCAUUUUAUUCACUCAGAAUUUUGAUUACUUUGGCCGAAAUUGGGAUCAUACCUAAUCCCAUACGAUUAAGAAAAUAAGAUUUGAAGCGCUUCAAAUCUGAUUAUUUUGUUUGUGAUUGAAAUGUUUAUUUCUUGUUACUUCAUUCACAUUAGUAACUUGUUACUUCAUUCGCAUUCGUAUCUUACUGUUUUGUAUGUUCUUUUUGUGUAAUAUUUGGUUACAUGAAUUGAAUUAAUUAAUGUCGGUUUCUAUCUGUUAUAUAGUUCAUAGUCAAUAUUGUUAUCUACGUACUUGGCUUUUUUAUUCUUAUAUUGUAUGCGUUAUCAAUUCAAGGAUCAACAAAUGUUGAAAAUCCAAUUUUUCUUUAAUUUUAUUUACAGAUUUAUAAGAGGUGGUGACGAGAUUUUGGCAGGUCAUUGGCGAUAUAUUAAAUCAAGUUUAAGAAUUUAGAUAUAUUUUGAAAACUUUACAUUUAACUGAAUGUGGAAAUGACAAAAAACACUAUUAUCGUGUUUUGUUCUUUGGUUGUGUUGGGUGAUUGUAUUACUUAUAUAUGAUGGUUCAGUCUUACUUAUAUAUGUUGAUCCAAACUUCUUUCUGUUGUGAGAGACACAAUUCGAUGCAAAAUGUAGGAUUUCUGCUUGUUGAUCUGUGGUUUGUUUGUCCCAAAUUUUAUUUCAUUUUGAGAUGAUUAAAUUAAAAUUAAAGGUUAAAAGUUAAUAAUGAGAAAUAAAAUUAACUAUAGGUUAUUUCUUUAGCAAUUUAUACUAAAUCAAUAAUAUCUAUAUCUACCAAUUAGUUUUUUUAAAAAAUUAAUUUUAUAUUAGAAAAAUGGUGGCGACAAUAGUCGCCACCAUAAAACUAGUCAUAAGUAGCGG
This 14950-nucleotide long non-coding RNA is filed under the name Ananas comosus (pineapple). RNAcentral describes it as "long non-coding RNA (ACOM_LNC021213)". Lineage: Eukaryota; Viridiplantae; Streptophyta; Magnoliopsida; Poales; Bromeliaceae. The record is from RNAcentral.